GUUCUACUGUUGCAUGUGCUUUAUUCAUUUGUUAUAUCUAAAUCUAUCUGAUCAAUGUGCGUCUUAAUUUGUCGUUUAAAAGGAGCCAGCUAAUAUCUCGCUGCCACAGUGAUACUUUGUAAUUGAAAUGGUUUCAAGAUUCAAGUUGCUGACGAGAUGUAUUGCGUAUCCAGCGACCGGCCAUCUUUCUUCUUGAUGUGUAUGUUCAUCUCAUCAGUGCUUUGUUGCUCUGCCUUUACCGAUCGCUCCAAGACAAGUACAUGAACCUGGCUUACUGCUUUGAUGAGAAAAGAUAAAAGGAUAGCUUGCUUAUAAAAUAGUCCAGUUGGCAGUCGCAAGUUUCUUCUCUAACA
This 353-nucleotide unclassified non-coding RNA is filed under the name Gigantopelta aegis. RNAcentral describes it as "uncharacterized LOC121385138, transcript variant X1". The record is from RNAcentral. Lineage: Eukaryota; Metazoa; Mollusca; Gastropoda; Neomphalida; Peltospiridae.